UACGGGGGGAGCAAGCGUUGUUCGGAUUUACUGGGCGUAAAGGGCGCGUAGGCGGCCAGUGCAAGUCAGUUGUGAAAUCUUGGAGCUUAACUCCGAAACUGCAUUCGAUACUGCCGUGCUUGAGGACUGGAGAGGAGACUGGAAUUUACGGUGUAGCGGUGAAAUGCGUAGAUAUCGUAAGGAAGACCAGUGGCGAAGGCGGGUCUCUGGACAGUUCCUGACGCUGAAGCACGAAGGCCAGGGGAGCAAACGGG
RNAcentral lists this ribosomal RNA (254 nucleotides) under uncultured bacterium. RNAcentral describes it as "partial 16S ribosomal RNA". It matches the Rfam family "Bacterial small subunit ribosomal RNA", at positions 524 to 776 of the family's 1533-position model. The record is from RNAcentral.